RNAcentral lists this transfer RNA (125 nucleotides) under Acidovorax sp. SUPP2522. RNAcentral describes it as "tRNA-Leu". Lineage: Bacteria; Pseudomonadati; Pseudomonadota; Betaproteobacteria; Burkholderiales; Comamonadaceae. The record is from RNAcentral.
AGGGAGCUGGAAGGUGCGAAAUGCGGAACGGAUUGCCCGCAAACCCGCAUGAAUCCUCAAUUUCUCGUGGGACUCAAAAUCCCCCGCCGCAAGGCGUGCCGGUUCGAUUCCGGCCCCGGGCACCA